This 480-nucleotide ribosomal RNA is filed under the name uncultured bacterium. RNAcentral describes it as "partial 16S ribosomal RNA". It matches the Rfam family "Bacterial small subunit ribosomal RNA", at positions 30 to 506 of the family's 1533-position model. The record is from RNAcentral.
UUGAACGCUGGCGGCAUGCCUUACACAUGCAAGUCGCACGGUAACGGGCCUUCGGGUGCCGACGAGUGGCGAACGGGUGAGUAAUACAUCGGAACGUGCCCGAUCGUGGGGGAUAACGAGGCGAAAGCUUUGCUAAUACCGCAUACGAUCUACGGAUGAAAGCAGGGGACCGCAAGGCCUUGCGCGGACGGAGCGGCCGAUGGCAGAUUAGGUAGUUGGUGGGAUAAAAGCUUACCAAGCCGACGAUCUGUAGCUGGUCUGAGAGGAUGAUCAGCCACACUGGGACUGAGACACGGCCCAGACUCCUACGGGAGGCAGCAGUGGGGAAUUUUGGACAAUGGGCGCAAGCCUGAUCCAGCCAUGCCGCGUGCAGGAUGAAGGCCUUCGGGUUGUAAACUGCUUUUGUACGGAACGAAAAGCCUUCUUUUAAUACAGGAGGGUCAUGACGGUACCGUAAGAAUAAGCACCGGCUAACUACGU